UACGGCUCUGUCUCACUCGUGCCGUGAGGUGUUAGGUUAAGUCCUGCAACGAGCGCAACCCCUGUCACUAGUUGCCAUCAUUAAGUUGGGGACUCUAGUGAGACUGCCUACGCAAGUAGAGAGGAAGGUGGGGAUGACGUCAAAUCAUCACGGCCCUUACGCCUUGGGCCACACACGUAAUACAAUGGCCGGUACAGAGGGCAGCUACACAGCGAUGUGAUGCAAAUCUCGAAAGCCGGUCUCAGUUCGGAUUGGAGUCUGCAACUCGACUCUAUGAAGCUGGAAUCGCUAGUAAUCGCGCAUCAGCCAUGGCGCGGUGAAUACGUUCCCGGGCCUUGUACACACCGCCCGUCAAGCCAUGGAAGUCUGGGGUACCUGAAGUCGGUGACCGUAACAGGAGCUCCUUUGUCACCAU
Molecule: ribosomal RNA, 415 nt
Filed under: bacterium 14S122
Lineage: Bacteria
Description: bacterial SSU rRNA
Rfam family: Bacterial small subunit ribosomal RNA
Source: RNAcentral